Molecule: long non-coding RNA, 1171 nt
Organism: Chinchilla lanigera (long-tailed chinchilla)
Lineage: Eukaryota; Metazoa; Chordata; Mammalia; Rodentia; Chinchillidae
Exons: 4
Source: RefSeq, a predicted model, not a curated record
CAACCAAUUAAAGUUCACUUUGUGUGAAUGUAGAGUCAGAGGAGCUGGAAGAACAUGCCUCCCCUGUGGCUGCAGAGGGAGAUUUGGAGCUGAGAUGGCCUUUCUAAUGAUCCUGACUUGAGAGCAGAAAGUGAGAUCUUUAUAAGCCAGCACUGAUCAUCACUGCAUGGAGUCUGUGCCCGCAAAGGACAUCAUCCUGGUCAAGGCACUCCUCACCUGAGGUAUUUGUAUUUUUGACCCUUGAUGUAAGCCAACUUAUUGCACAGAUGGAGAAAGUGAAGCCAGAGAAGUCAGGGACUUGACUAAUGGAAUAGGAACUUCAACUAUUUCAUCGAAGGACAAGCAAUUGCUACAGGGCCGGAAUUACUUAAAGGGUAGAAAUCAGACUUUGGCUACGAAAAUGCUAAUCAAGAACUUUGCUGGUCAGACAUCAAUAGGGAAAGUCUGAGGGAAAAUACCAAGAAGGAGAAAUUGUCUUGACAGAGUUAAGAAGAGGAAAAGAUGUGAAAUGGGGCUUUAAAUUGCUAACACAGAGGGCCCUGCACUACUUCCUGAAAGACCUGGGAGACAGCGAGACAAGACAGGGAAGGAGGAAUGGGAUGGCAUAAGGACUCUCAGGGCAGCUGAGAUUUCAGGCUUCCCUCAGAAUUUCAUGCUGCUCAUUUGAGGCCACCUGCCACAGAGACCCCCCAAAUCAGAGAAAACUUGGGUGUGCUAGAAAAAGACACCUCAGCAUGCCCCAGUGUCCCCUAAAGGCAAAGCGGCACCAGCAUAGGAACACUCUAGAACUUUUCACACUGGUUCCCCAAGAGAUGGCCUGCCGAGCUUCUCAGAGGGGAAACAAAUGAGGAAACAAACGCUAGACAGGGAGAGAGGCAAGGGAAAACAGUUGGCUUUUCCUGUGUACCUGUGUUUGUUUCCUGAGACCGCGAGCUGAUCAAAGGACAAACUUCAAGCACCAAUGUUAUUUUGGUAUGAAGCUGGCUCAACAGCCCCUGCUGAUAUCUGGGAAUGAAUUUAACGCCAUUUCAAAAACUAUGUCUAAAAUCCCCUUACGAAGCCUGUCUCCCCACCUCUGGCUGACCGUUCUAGCCACAAAGAAGGGCUUAUCUUUGCCUCCUUCACUUCCUUCAUGCUGAACUCAUUUUCAAGUUUUUCUCUUCUUCCUACA